UGGGGAAUUUUGGACAAUUGGGGGCAACCCUGAUCCAGCCAUGCCGCGUGAGUGAUGAAGGCCUUCGGGUUGUAAAGCUCUUUUGGCGGGGACGAUGAUGACGGUACCCGCAGAAUAAGCCCCGGCUAACUUCGUGCCAGCAGCCGCGGUAAGACGAAGGGGGCUAGCGUUGUUCGGAAUUACUGGGCGUAAAGCGAGUGUAGGCGGUUGCCGUAGUCAGGUGUGAAAGCCUUGAGCUCAACUCAAGAAAUGCACUUGAUACUGGGUGACUAGAGGACCGGAGAGGAUAGUGGAAUUCCCAGUGUAGUGGUGAAAUACGUAGAGAUUGGGAAGAACACCAGUGGCGAAGGCGGCUAUCUGGACGGUUACUGACGCUAAGACUCGAAAGCGUGGGGAGCAAACAGGAUUAGAUACCCUGGUAGUCCACGCCGUAAACGAUGGGUGCUAGACGUUGGCGAGCUUGCUCGUCAGUGUCGCAGCUAACGCGUU
RNAcentral lists this ribosomal RNA (489 nucleotides) under uncultured bacterium. RNAcentral describes it as "partial 16S ribosomal RNA". It matches the Rfam family "Bacterial small subunit ribosomal RNA", at positions 355 to 861 of the family's 1533-position model. The record is from RNAcentral.